Molecule: non-coding RNA, 304 nt
Organism: Erythranthe guttata (spotted monkey flower)
Lineage: Eukaryota; Viridiplantae; Streptophyta; Magnoliopsida; Lamiales; Phrymaceae
Source: RefSeq, a predicted model, not a curated record
UCCAUCACAUCAGUCGUCGCGGCUCCUUCAUCCUCUAGAUCAGAGAUCUCCAUCUUCCCAGACGGCACAGAAAGAUCUUGUGUUUUUUUGUGAUGGGAUCGACGAGAUGUUCUUGCACAAGGAGUGAUGGCAACAAGUGGGACGAGGUUGGGUGAUGCCCGGGUGAAUCUACUAUUGUAAGCGAUGACAUUGUUUAUUAAAGGGGACUUUUGUAGUGGAUUUAGGCAAGUUUUUAGUGGAUUUUCUCUUUGUAAAGUAGAUCUUUUGUAAUGAAUUUCUAUAUUUUUUUAGUGUUUUUGAUGAA